This 392-nucleotide ribosomal RNA is filed under the name uncultured bacterium. RNAcentral describes it as "partial 16S ribosomal RNA". It matches the Rfam family "Bacterial small subunit ribosomal RNA", at positions 523 to 918 of the family's 1533-position model. The record is from RNAcentral.
AUACGGAGGAUCCGAGCGUUAUCCGGAUUUAUUGGGUUUAAAGGGUGCGCAGGCGGCCAUUUAAGUCAGCGGUUAAAUCGUGGGGCUCAACCCCAUUCUGCCGUUGAUACUGGGUGGCUUGAUUGCGGUCGAGGUUGGCGGAAUUCGUUGUGUAGCGGUGAAAUGCAUAGAUAUGACGAAGAACACCGAUUGCGUAGGCAGCUGACCAGACCGCAAAUGACGCUCAUGCACGAAAGUGCGGGGAUCGAACAGGAUUAAAUACCCUGGUAGUCCGCACAGUAAACGAUGAAUACUUGUUUUCGGCGAUAUAAUGUCGGAGGCAAAGCGAAAGCAAUAAGUAUUCCACCUGGGGAGUACGCCGGCAACGGUGAAACUCAAAUGAAUUGACGGGG